CUAAACAGAUUGACUCCACUCCUGGGUCCAGGGGUGAGGUAUAUAACUCAAGCUGAGGAAAUACUUUUAUUUGACCACAGUGAUUACUUUGGAUUGGGGAGGAGGGCAAGACAUUCUAAUGAGAAUGAAUCUCUGAACAUCUCUUAGAAUGUUGAAACAAAGGGCACUUGUUGACUGGCUGGUGUUGUAAGUGUAUGAGGAAACUAAAACUGCCUACAAGCCUUUUUUGCUGUUCUGCAGGAAGCUAGACCAAGAAUGAAGUUAAUGCAUGGAUUAGGGAGAAACAAAGUGAAACUUAGCAAAACUGAUCCAGGACCCUGAUGACACGUGAAUGGAUCUGAUUCACGAUUUUGGUAUCUGACUGAUGCUGUCUUCGUGGAAUGAGUUAGGAAAGAGUCCCUCCUCGUCAACUGUUGGGAAUACAUUCAGCAGGGUUGGUAUCAUUGCAUGUCUGGCAGAAUUUGACUAGGAAUCCAUCUGGUCCAGGAUUUUUUUUGUUGAUCCUUGCCCAAGUUUUUGGAACAUGGACUUUGGAUGGAGAUCUGGAUGCAAGGACUUUAGAGUGGAAUGAACCAGGGGAUUCCACCUGAAUUCAUGUGAGAGAAGUGGGACUGGGAAGAAAGAGAAGGUGAACUGCAAUGCAAGUUAAAAGGAAGCCUCAGAAAUCCAUGGGAAGCUCUGAAACUGGAGUGACUGUUCAGAGAUAGUUUAAGUGGAAGUACAAGGCCCACUUAUAUUUCAGCAUCAACCAGCCACUCUGUGAACACAGAUGUGAGGGUGGGAAUAUACAAUCCAGGAAUGAUCGCAGAUGUGAGGGUGGGAAUAUACAAUCCAGGAAUGAACACAGAUGUGAGGGUGGGAAUAUACAAUCCAGGAAUGAACACAGAUGUGAGGGUGGGAAUAUACAAUCCAGGAAUGAACACAGAUGUGAGGGUGGGAAUAUACAGUCCAGGAAUGAACACAGAUGUGAGGGUGGGAAUAUACAAUCCAGGGAGGGGGCUCCCUUCAGGUAAAAGUAUUAUUAGAUUGGUGCAAAAGUAAUCGCAAAAGGUAUUUUGCCACUUUUAAUGGCAAAAACGCAGUUAAUUUUGCACCAACCUAAAUACCUGGGAGGGACUCGGCUUUUGCUUAACAGUAGCCUAUAUUUCUGGCAGAGAGAGAAAAAUAGAUCACAGUCCAGAGGAAGAAUCUAUAUAGCAUACCCAGCCAAUCUCUGUUAAAUCUAGAAUAAUUUUCACCAAUUUUUUUCUAUUCUGAGUAAAGUUGAAAUCAUAGAACAACAUAGCAUGACAGAACCUUGGAGAUUAUUUAAUUCCACGUCCUCAUUUGAUUGAUGCAUUAACAUUAAGUAUAUUUUUAAGGACAUAAAAUAUAUACAGGAUUAAAAUCAAAAUGAUGUAGACUUUUUCUUGACCUCUUGACUCUUAUUUUCUACUUUAUUAGCACAGAUAAUUUUUGAAGUUGUGGGUUUUAGUCAAAGAUUUGAGUUUAAAAUGGGCCUGUACUAUUAACUGGAUGCAGUAUAUAAUUGAUAAUUUUAAAAUGUUUCCUGAAUAAGUAAUUUAAUAAAAGGAAAAUUCAUACAAUAGCCCUGAAGAGCAGGAGGCAUGAAAUAGCCAGCAGUACUAGCUACAUGAUCCUCAGUUUCUUCCUAAGUGCACAUAAUAUUAACCUUGUGUUAUGAUUGUGUGAAUAAAUUAAGAUGUGCUAAGUGCUUUUCUUAAUGUUUAUCAUGUGGUCACUGCUUGUUGAAUUCAAGUUGCCUACUGCAAAUUCCUCUAUGUGAGCUUUAAUGCCUGAAUCCAGCUUGGAGACUGAUAUGAAUAAGCCAUGAAUUAACUACAAAAAUGAUCAUUAUGGCCUCAACUUUGUACAAUGAAUGUCAAUUGUUAGUUUAAAUUGGCCACUCUGUAAGAUCAGACAUCCAUAGCCACAUAAUGACCAUAUUCAUGACCAAUCUGGCCUUACUCUCCCUAACAAACUUUGAAUUUAUGACUUCCUAACCAACUUUGAAUUAAUGACUUUCUAACAUAUCCUCAAUUGUAGUGGCCAUGGUCUAUUCACUUUCCUAUGCUUGCCACAUCAAUUUCUCCUUCCAGCCACGAAGUAUGACGGUCCACACUAGUCUACUCCAGGAAAUGAAUGGUCACCUCCUUCUUAUAGAGCCACAUCUGAAUGUCUUUUAUCCCUUUUGCACACAAGGGGUCUAUGCAUUAUUUCAUUUCCUGUAUUUCUUUAUAUUCUCUGAAGUCUUUUAGCAUUUACUAAUACAUUGUAUCCUCUUUUUUAAAUCAGAUGUUUGGGAGUAAUUUAUAUAUAGUAAAAUUCUACUUCUGAUUGUACCAUUUGAUGAACUUUGACAAAUUUACACUGUCCUUUAACUAACACUACCAUCAAGUUAUAGAACAUUUCCCUCACCACAAAAGAAAGUUUCCUUAUGACUCUUUGUAGUUACUCCUGUACUCUCCCACCCCAACACCUGACCUUGAACCUAUUUUCUGUCUCCAUAGUUUUUGCCUUGUUCAGAUGUCAUUUAAAUGGAACUGUACAAUAUAUGUGUCUUCUGGCAUUAUGCCUUUUGGAUGUUUCCAUAUUGUUCUAUGUAUUGAUAGUUUAUUUUAAUGGUUAAGUAGCAUUUCAUUAUACAAAAAUGCCACAAUUUGUUUAUAUAUUUACAAAACCGAUGGCUAUUCAGCUUUGCUCCAGAUUUUGGCUCCUAUGAAUAAGGUUUAUGUAUUUACAUUCAGAUCAUUUUAUGGAGAAAUUUUUCUUUGGAAAUAAUUCUGAAUUAGAGUGCUGGGUUACAAAGUAGGUGUAUGUGUAACAGGAUAUGGAAAUGCCAAUCAUUUUUCCAAAAUGCCUGUACCAUUUUGCAUUACCACAAGCAAUGUAUGAGUGUUGUAGUUGCACCACAUAUUCACCAAACUUGGUAUUGUCAAUGAUAUUUUUCAAACUUUAGAUAUCAAGUAGGUAUGUAGUGACAUGUCAUUGUGGUUUUAAUUUGCAUUUUCCUAAUGACUAAUGAUUUUGAGCAUCUUUUCAUGCCAUUCAUACUCUUUGGUGGAGUGUCUAUUCAAAUCUAUUGCUUAUUUUAAGAAUUAUCUUCAUAUUAAUUCCUAAAAGUAUGUAUAUAUUCUAAAAUGCCUUUAUUAAAUAGGUGUUUUGCC
RNAcentral lists this long non-coding RNA (3167 nucleotides) under Homo sapiens (human). Its description in RNAcentral is "HSALNT0142803". Lineage: Eukaryota; Metazoa; Chordata; Mammalia; Primates; Hominidae. The record is from RNAcentral.